AACGAACGCUGGCGGCAUGCCUAACACAUGCAAGUCGAACGAGACCUUCGGGUCUAGUGGCGCACGGGUGCGUAACGCGUGGGAACCUGCCCUUAGGUUCGGAAUAACUCCCCGAAAGGGGUGCUAAUACCGGAUAAUGUCUUCGGACCAAAGAUUUAUCGCCUUUGGAUGGGCCCGCGUUGGAUUAGCUAGUUGGUAGGGUAAAAGCCUACCAAGGCGACGAUCCAUAGCUGGUCUGAGAGGAUGAUCAGCCACACUGGGACUGAGACACGGCCCAGACUCCUACGGGAGGCAGCAGUGGGGAAUAUUGGACAAUGGGCAAAAGCCUGAUCCAGCAAUGCCGCGUGAGUGAUGAAGGCCUUAGGGUUGUAAAGCUCUUUUACCCGGGAUGAUAAUGACAGUACCGGGAGAAUAAGCUCCGGCUAACUCCGUG
RNAcentral lists this ribosomal RNA (433 nucleotides) under uncultured bacterium. Its description in RNAcentral is "partial 16S ribosomal RNA". It matches the Rfam family "Bacterial small subunit ribosomal RNA", at positions 29 to 507 of the family's 1533-position model. The record is from RNAcentral.